RNAcentral lists this ribosomal RNA (469 nucleotides) under uncultured bacterium. RNAcentral describes it as "partial 16S ribosomal RNA". It matches the Rfam family "Bacterial small subunit ribosomal RNA", at positions 28 to 507 of the family's 1533-position model. The record is from RNAcentral.
GACGAACGCUGGCGGCGUGCUUAACACAUGCAAGUCGAACGGAAAGGCCCUGCUUGCAGGGUGCUCGAGUGGCGAACGGGUGUGUAACACGUGGGUGAUCUGCCCCUUACUUUGGGAUAAGCCUGGGAAACUGGGACUAAUACUGGAUAGGAACAUGCUGUAGGUGGUGUGGUGGAAAGCUUAGUUUCGGUAAGGGAUGAGCUCGCGGCCUAUCAGCUUGUUGGUGGGGUACUGGCCUACCAAGGCGUCGACGGGUAGCCGGCCUGAGAGGGUGGGCGGCCAGAUUGAGACUCAGAUACGACGCAGAAGCCGGCGGGAUGCAGCAGUGGGGGAUAUUGCGCUAUAGGCGCAAGCCUGAUGCAGCGACGCCGCGUGGGGGAUGACGGCCUUCGGGUUGGAAACACCUGCCAGCCAUGACGAAGCCCGUGUGGUGACGGUAGUGGAAGAAGAAGCACCGGCUAACUACGUG